Molecule: ribosomal RNA, 967 nt
Filed under: Cantharellus citrinus
Lineage: Eukaryota; Fungi; Basidiomycota; Agaricomycetes; Cantharellales; Hydnaceae
Description: partial large subunit ribosomal RNA
Rfam family: Eukaryotic large subunit ribosomal RNA
Source: RNAcentral
CCCCCAGUAACUGCGAGUGAAGAGGGAAGAGCUCAUCAUUGGAAUCUGGCAGCAAUUGUGCUGUCCGAGUUGUAGAUGAGAAGAGUGGGUCAUCUGGACUGCGUGGUGUCCAAGUACAAUAGGCCGUCAGUGGGACAUCAUAGAGGGUGACAAUCCCGUCCUUGACAACCAACGUACGAGUCCAUUACGAUGCCUAUCUCAGAGAGUCGAGCAGUUUGGGAUUUGCUGCUUAAACAUGGGAGGUAGAUUCCUUCUAAAGCUAAAUACAGGCAAGAGACCGAUAGAGAACAAGUACCGCAAGGGAAAGAUGAAAUAGAACUCUGUGAAGGGAGUCAAAAAGACGUGAAAUUGUUGCGAGAGAAGCGAUUCAAGUCAGCGUAGCUAGGCCCAUGAAGCUUUUUGCUUUGGACUAGCUUUGCCAGCGGUCUUGUCUGUAGACUUGACUUUUUGACGUGCCCAGCCCGGUCUAACGGGCAGGCCCCUCUGGGGCCCAGUGGCAUGGCUGGUGGAAUGGCUUGCAAUCGACCCGUCUUGAAACACGGACCAAGGAGUCUAACAUGUGUGCGAGUAUAAGGGUGGCAAACCUGUAUGCGCAAAGAAAGUGAUAGCCUUUAUGGCUGAGAAUGGCCUGAUGACCAGACAAGCAAUAUUAUGUUCCUCGUACGGUCAUUGCCCAAGUCCCAUGGUCAGAUCCCAUGGACAUGGAGUUAGAGCAUACAUGCUAGGACCCGAAAGAUGGUGAACUAUGCCUGGACAAAGCGAAGCCAAAGGAAACUCUGGUGGAGGCUUGUAGCGAUUCUGACGUGCAAAUCGAUCGUCUGAUCUGGGUAUAGGGGCGAAAGACUAAUCGAACCAUCUCAUAGCUGUUCCUGUCGAAGUUUCCCUCACGAUAGCAGAGACAUUGUGGAAGUUGCAUGUGGUAAAGCGAAUGAUUAUUGACUCUGGGGCUCAAAUGGGCCUCAAUCUA